AUCCUUUUCCGGUUCAUAAGCGUGAUGAUUGGGUUCUCACUCGCUUGCGUGAUAUGUGCCUCCCUCUAAACCUUGUUAUGACAUGGGCACAUUACCCGUCUGAUG
Molecule: small nucleolar RNA, 105 nt
Organism: Dipodomys ordii (Ord's kangaroo rat)
Lineage: Eukaryota; Metazoa; Chordata; Mammalia; Rodentia; Heteromyidae
Source: Ensembl